This 253-nucleotide ribosomal RNA is filed under the name uncultured bacterium. Its description in RNAcentral is "partial 16S ribosomal RNA". It matches the Rfam family "Bacterial small subunit ribosomal RNA", at positions 524 to 776 of the family's 1533-position model. The record is from RNAcentral.
UACGUAGGGUGCAAGCGUUGUCCGGAAUUAUUGGGCGUAAAGGGCUCGUAGGCGGUCUGUCGCGUCGGGAGUGAAAACUCAGGGCUUAACCCUGAGCCUGCUUCCGAUACGGGCAGACUAGAGGUAUGCAGGGGAGAACGGAAUUCCUGGUGUAGCGGUGAAAUGCGCAGAUAUCAGGAGGAACACCGGUGGCGAAGGCGGUUCUCUGGGCAUUAACUGACGCUGAGGAGCGAAAGCAUGGGGAGCGAACAGG